CGAUCCAAUCGUCAAAUUGGUUGUGGCGUGUUGCUUCUCUGAAUUUCAUAUCACAGCCAUUUUUGACGAGUUGGAUCGC
RNAcentral lists this microRNA precursor (79 nucleotides) under Dinoponera quadriceps. RNAcentral describes it as "microRNA dqu-mir-13b precursor". Its record names the gene dqu-mir-13b. The stretch from base 5 to 75 matches the Rfam family "mir-2 microRNA precursor family". From Rfam's summary of the family: The miRNAs are transcribed as ~70nt precursors (modelled here) and subsequently processed by the Dicer enzyme to give a ~22nt product. In this case the mature sequence comes from the 3' arm of the precursor. The extents of the hairpin precursors are not generally known and are estimated based on hairpin prediction. The record is from miRBase by way of RNAcentral. Lineage: Eukaryota; Metazoa; Arthropoda; Insecta; Hymenoptera; Formicidae.